GAUGAACGCUGGCGGCGUGCCUAAUACAUGCAAGUCGAGCGAACGGACGAGAAGCUUGCUUUUCUGAUGUUAGCGGCGGACGGGUGAGUAACACGUGGAUAACCUACCUAUAAGACUGGGAUAACUUCGGGAAACCGGAGCUAAUACCGGAUAAUAUUUUGAACCGCAUGGUUCAAAAGUGAAAGACGGUCUUGCUGUCACUUAGAGAUGGAUCCGCGCUGCAUUAGCUAGUUGGUAAGGUAACGGCUUACCAAGGCAACGAUGCAUAGCCGACCUGAGAGGGUGAUCGGCCACACUGGAACUGAGACACGGUCCAGACUCCUACGGGAGGCAGCAGUAGGGAAUCUUCCGCAAUGGGCGAAAGCCUGACCGAGCGAUGCCGCGUGAGUGAUGAAGGUCUUCGGAUCGUAAAGCUCUGUUAGUAGGGAAGAACGGAUGUGUAAGUAUCCGUGCCCAUCUUGACGGUACCUAAACAGAAAGCACCGGCUAACUACGUG
RNAcentral lists this ribosomal RNA (497 nucleotides) under uncultured bacterium. RNAcentral's name for it is "partial 16S ribosomal RNA". It matches the Rfam family "Bacterial small subunit ribosomal RNA", at positions 28 to 507 of the family's 1533-position model. The record is from RNAcentral.